CCACGGCAGCAUGGGCGAAGCCUGAUGCAGCAACGCCGCGUGAGGGACGACGGCCUUCGGGUUGUAAACCUCUUUUACCAGGGAAGAUGCUGACGUGACCGUACUUGCAGACCCCGCGCCGGCUCACUACGUGCCCCCAGCCGCGAUAAUACGG
RNAcentral lists this ribosomal RNA (154 nucleotides) under uncultured Microbacterium sp. RNAcentral's name for it is "partial 16S ribosomal RNA". It matches the Rfam family "Bacterial small subunit ribosomal RNA", at positions 359 to 528 of the family's 1533-position model. Lineage: Bacteria; Bacillati; Actinomycetota; Actinomycetes; Micrococcales; Microbacteriaceae. The record is from RNAcentral.